UACACUCAUCACCCUGUGACAUACCUAAAACGUUGCUUCGGCGGGAACAGACGGCCCUGUAACAACGGGCCGCCCCCGCCAGAGGACCCCUAACUCUGUUUUUAUAAUGUUUUUCUGAGUAAACAAGCAAAUAAAUUAAAACUUUCAACAACGGAUCUCUUGGCUCUGGCAUCGAUGAAGAACGCAGCGAAAUGCGAUAAGUAAUGUGAAUUGCAGAAUUCAGUGAAUCAUCGAAUCUUUGAACGCACAUUGCGCCCGCCAGUAUUCUGGCGGGCAUGCCUGUUCGAGCGUCAUUACAACCCUCAGGCCCCCGGGCCUGGCGUUGGGGAUCGGCGGAAGCCCCCUGUGGGCACACGCCGUCCCUCAAAUACAGUGGCGGUCCCGCCGCAGCUUCCAUUGCGUAGUAGCUAACACCUCGCAACUGGAGAGCGGCGCGGCCAUGCCGUAAAACACCCAACUUCUGAAUGUUGACCUCGAAUCAGGUAGGAAUACCCGCUGAACUUAAGCAUAUCAAUAAGCGGAGGA
This 525-nucleotide ribosomal RNA is filed under the name Fusarium solani. RNAcentral describes it as "eukaryotic LSU rRNA". The stretch from base 140 to 293 matches the Rfam family "5.8S ribosomal RNA". The record is from RNAcentral. Lineage: Eukaryota; Fungi; Ascomycota; Sordariomycetes; Hypocreales; Nectriaceae.